CCUACGGGAGGCAGCAGUGAGGAAUAUUGGUCAAUGGGCUUACGCCUGAACCAGCCAAGUCGCGUGAGGGAAGACUGCCCUAUGGGUUGUAAACCUCUUUUGUCAGGGAGCAAUUGGCGCUACGUGUAGCGUUAUCGAGAGUACCUGAAGAAAAAGUAUCGGCUAACUCCGUGCCAGCAGCCGCGGUAAUACGCAGGAUGCGAGCGUUAUCCGGAUUUAUUGGGUUUAAAGGGUGCGUAGGCGGAAUGCCAAGUCAGCGGGAAAAUCGCGGGGCUCAACCUCGCCCCGCCGUUGAAACUGGCGUUCUUGAGUGGGCGAGAGGUAGGCGGAAUGCGUGGUGUAGCGGUGAAAUGCAUAGAUAUCACGCAGAACUCCGAUUGCGAAGGCAGCAUACCGGCGCCCAACUGACGCUGAAGCACGAAAGCGUGGGUAUCGAACAGGAUUAGAUACCCUGGUAGUC
Molecule: ribosomal RNA, 460 nt
Filed under: uncultured bacterium
Lineage: Bacteria
Description: partial 16S ribosomal RNA
Rfam family: Bacterial small subunit ribosomal RNA
Source: RNAcentral